UACGGAGGGAGCUAGCGUUGUUCGGAAUUACUGGGCGUAAAGCGCGCGUAGGCGGCUUUGUAAGUUAGAGGUGAAAGCCCGGAGCUCAACUCCGGAACUGCCUUUAAAACUGCAUCGCUUGAAUCCAGGAGAGGUGAGUGGAAUUCCGAGUGUAGAGGUGAAAUUCGUAGAUAUUCGGAAGAACACCAGUGGCGAAGGCGGCGACCUGGGUAGAUACUGACGCUGAGGUGCGAAAGCGUGGGGAGCAAACAGG
Molecule: ribosomal RNA, 253 nt
Filed under: uncultured bacterium
Lineage: Bacteria
Description: partial 16S ribosomal RNA
Rfam family: Bacterial small subunit ribosomal RNA
Source: RNAcentral